CCUACGGGGGGCAGCAGUGAGGAAUAUUGGUCAAUGGACGAGAGUCUGAACCAGCCAAGUAGCGUGAAGGAUGACUGCCCUAGGGGUUGUAAACUUCUUUUAUAUGGGAAUAAAAUGUUCCACGUGUGGGAUUUUGUAUGUACCAUAUGAAUAAGGAUCGGCUAACUCCGUGCCAGCAGCCGCGGUAAUACGGAGGAUCCGAGCGUUAUCCGGAUUUAUUGGGUUUAAAGGGAGCGUAGGUGGAUUGUUAAGUCAGUUGUGAAAGUUUGCGGCUCAACCGUAAAAUUGCAGUUGAAACUGGCAGUCUUGAGUACAGUAGAGGUGAGCGGAAUUCGUGGUGUAGCGGUGAAAUGCUUAGAUAUCACGAAGAACUCCGAUUGCGAAGGCAGUUCACUGGACUGCAACUGACACUGAGGCUCGAAAGUGUGGGUAUCAAACAGGAUUAGAUACCCCUGUAGUC
RNAcentral lists this ribosomal RNA (460 nucleotides) under uncultured bacterium. RNAcentral describes it as "partial 16S ribosomal RNA". It matches the Rfam family "Bacterial small subunit ribosomal RNA", at positions 338 to 795 of the family's 1533-position model. The record is from RNAcentral.